Molecule: unclassified non-coding RNA, 1215 nt
Filed under: Hevea brasiliensis (rubber tree)
Lineage: Eukaryota; Viridiplantae; Streptophyta; Magnoliopsida; Malpighiales; Euphorbiaceae
Source: RNAcentral
GCUGCCGCCAUCAUCGGCCAAGACCGGCAGCGUUUGGGCCCAGAGCUCCAACUUUCCUCAGGUGUUUGGAAGAUUCUAGAAGGCCCAUUGCAUAUUCUGUAAAUUCUAGAACACUCACUUCACGUUCUACAGAUGAUGGAAGGUAACUGUGAAUUCUUGAUAAUUUCUCUAAACUUCAUGUAACUCCUCUUAACUGCUUUCUUUGGUAAUCACCCACUAUCAAUAACUUCUUUUGUAAAUUAUCUUCAAACCUUUAAUUAAUUAAACCAAUUAAAUAAAAUUAAUUAAAAAAACCAAUUUAAUUGAUCUUUGAUCUGAAAAUAAAUGAAUAAAAUUAAUUAUUUAGUUAAUUUAAUGAACAUUAACACAACCGGUCACCUGCUAAUCUCGAAAAAGAGCAGGGAGUAAGUACAAGUCCUUUGCCAUACUCUGCAACAAAUUUCUACAAUUACUGCUAAAAGACCGAAACAAAAUUGCAAUAUUAACGGAAUUGUCAAAAUAUCUAUAUAUAUAAUUGAGUGGUCAAUCCAUGUGAAAUAGAUGUUUGACCAUUCGAUAUGUACGCUCACUGUUGAGUAGACGUGCCCACGGAGGAGUUUUUCAAACCAUUGACCAUCUUGGACCUUCUUCUCCUAUUUAAAAUAGAGAACGCUUGCUUUAGUAAAGUCCAGAAGACCAUAAGGUUUCACACACCAAAUGAGUGCAAGUCACUAAAAUUUAGGGUCUAAGAAACUGAAUUUAAUAUGCUGAGAACAUCGAAUUAGUAAAAUAUUGUCAAAUGUGAUUAUAUAUAGAUAGGGUUAUUGACUGUGCGAUAUGUUUAUGCCUUUCAAACAAUUUAGGCUUAUUAGAAUUUGUCAUAUAUAAUUUAAGCUUAUUAGAAGAGUUUUGCUUAUUUAAAAAAAAAUUACUCAUUUAAUUUACAACUCUUGAAUGUUCCUCUACCUAAUCUUAACGUCUUGAUGAUAAUAACGAUCUCGAUUUCCACUAAAGAGCACAUAAAAAUCAAAUUCUAAAAUUAGGGAGGUCUUUCAUGCUUGAAGCCAUGUCUUUAACUAUGCAUGCUUGAAGCCAUGCCUUUCUUACUUGUUUUAUAAUUCAAUCACUCACUCAUUAAUGAUUAAUUAAAUCAUAAUUUAAAAAUAUACAAACACGUCUCAUAAAUAAGUUAAUGUUAUAGCUUAUUAAUCCUUACUUUAUUUUUCUCUCUCCCUU